UACGGGGGGAGCAAGCGUUGUUCGGAUUUACUGGGCGUAAAGGGCGCGUAGGCGGCCUCUGCAAGUCGACUGUGAAAUCUCCGGGCUUAACCCGGAACGGUCAGCCGAUACUGCAGGGCUAGAGUGCAGAAGGGGCAACUGGAAUUCUCGGUGUAGCGGUGAAAUGCGUAGAUAUCGAGAGGAACACCUGCGGCGAAGGCGGGUUGCUGGGCUGACACUGACGCUGAUGCGCGAAAGCUAGGGGAGCGAACGGG
Molecule: ribosomal RNA, 254 nt
Filed under: uncultured bacterium
Lineage: Bacteria
Description: partial 16S ribosomal RNA
Rfam family: Bacterial small subunit ribosomal RNA
Source: RNAcentral